UCCCAAAGUCACUCUAAAGUACCCCUAAAUCCAUGUUCCUCCACAAGUAAAAGAAAAGACCACUAUAGAGAGACAGAGACCAGUUGGACUAUGAUCAAUUGGACAAUUUUUUAUU
Gavialis gangeticus (Gharial) is the source of this 115-nucleotide long non-coding RNA. RefSeq lists it as uncharacterized. The transcript is spliced from 4 exons. Lineage: Eukaryota; Metazoa; Chordata; Crocodylia; Gavialidae. The record is from RefSeq and is a predicted model, not a curated record.